This 119-nucleotide ribosomal RNA is filed under the name Triticum aestivum (bread wheat). Lineage: Eukaryota; Viridiplantae; Streptophyta; Magnoliopsida; Poales; Poaceae. The record is from RNAcentral.
GGAUGCGAUCAUACCAGCACUAAAGCACCAGAUCCCAUUAGAACUCCGAAGUUAAGCGUGCUUGGGCGAGAGUACUACUAGGAUGGGUGACCUCCUGGGAAGUCCUCGUGUUGCAUUCC